GAUGAACGCUGGCGGCGUGCUUAACACAUGCAAGUCGAACGAUGAAGCCCAGCUUGCUGGGUGGAUUAGUGGCGAACGGGUGAGUAACACGUGAGUAACCUGCCCUUUACUCUGGGAUAAGCCUGGGAAACUGGGUCUAAUACUGGAUAUGACUUCUCAUCGCAUGGUGGGGGGUGGAAAGAUUUAUUGGUCUUGGAUGGACUCGCGGCCUAUCAGCUUGUUGGUGAGGUAAUGGCUCACCAAGGCGACGACGGGUAGCCGGCCUGAGAGGGUGACCGGCCACACUGGGACUGAGACACGGCCCAGACUCCUACGGGAGGCAGCAGUGGGGAAUAUUGCACAAUGGGCGCAAGCCUGAUGCAGCGACGCCGCGUAAGGGAUGACGGCCUUCGGGUUGUAAACCUCUUUCAGUAGGGAAGAAGAGAGAGUGACGGCACCUGCAGAAGAAGCGCCGGCUAACUACGUG
Molecule: ribosomal RNA, 466 nt
Filed under: uncultured bacterium
Lineage: Bacteria
Description: partial 16S ribosomal RNA
Rfam family: Bacterial small subunit ribosomal RNA
Source: RNAcentral